This 445-nucleotide ribosomal RNA is filed under the name uncultured bacterium. RNAcentral describes it as "partial 16S ribosomal RNA". It matches the Rfam family "Bacterial small subunit ribosomal RNA", at positions 354 to 796 of the family's 1533-position model. The record is from RNAcentral.
GUGAGGAAUAUUGGUCAAUGGGCGGGAGCCUGAACCAGCCAAGUCGCGUGAAGGAAGAAGGAUCUAUGGUUCGUAAACUUCUUUUGCAGGGGAAUAAAGUGCAGGACGUGUCCUGUUUUGUAUGUACCCUGAGAAUAAGGAUCGGCUAACUCCGUGCCAGCAGCCGCGGUAAUACGGAGGAUCCGAGCGUUAUCCGGAUUUAUUGGGUUUAAAGGGUGCGUAGGUGGUUUGAUAAGUCAGCGGUGAAAGUUUGCAGCUUAACUGUAAGAAUGCCGUUGAAACUGUCGGACUUGAGUGUAAAUGAGGUAGGCGGAAUGCGUGGUGUAGCGGUGAAAUGCAUAGAUAUCACGCAGAACUCCGAUUGCGAAGGCAGCUUACUAAGCUACAACUGACACUGAAGCACGAAAGCGUGGGGUUCAAACAGGAUUAGAUACCCUUGUAGUCC